GGCCGCGGGAAUUCGAUUCAGGCGUAACACAUGCAAGUCGAACGGCAGCACGGGAGCUUGCUCCUGGUGGCGAGUGGCGAACGGGUGAGUAAUACAUCGGAACGUACCCAGUAGUGGGGGAUAACGCACCGAAAGGUGCGCUAAUACCGCAUACGACCUACGGGUGAAAGCGGGGGACCGUAAGGCCUCGCGCUAUUGGAGCGGCCGAUGUCUGAUUAGCUAGUUGGUGAGGUAAAGGCUCACCAAGGCUUCGAUCAGUAGCUGGUCUGAGAGGACGAUCAGCCACACUGGGACUGAGACACGGCCCAGACUCCUACGGGAGGCAGCAGUGGGGAAUUUUGGACAAUGGGCGAAAGCCUGAUCCAGCAAGGCCGCGUGUGCGAAGAAGGCCUUCGGG
This 397-nucleotide ribosomal RNA is filed under the name uncultured bacterium. Its description in RNAcentral is "bacterial SSU rRNA". It matches the Rfam family "Bacterial small subunit ribosomal RNA", at positions 36 to 422 of the family's 1533-position model. The record is from RNAcentral.